This 250-nucleotide ribosomal RNA is filed under the name uncultured bacterium. Its description in RNAcentral is "partial 16S ribosomal RNA". It matches the Rfam family "Bacterial small subunit ribosomal RNA", at positions 524 to 773 of the family's 1533-position model. The record is from RNAcentral.
UACGUAGGUGGCGAGCGUUGUCCGGAAUUAUUGGGCGUAAAGAGCGCGUAGGCGGAUACUUAAGUCUGUCGUAAAAAUGCGGGGCUCAACCCCGUAGUGUCGAUGGAAACUGGGUAUCUUGAGAGCAGGAGAGGAAAGUAGAAUUCCCAGUGUAGCGGUGAAAUGCGUAGAUAUUGGGAGGAAUACCAGUGGCGAAGGCGGCUUUCUGGACUGUUUCUGACGCUGAGGCGCGAAAGCCAGGGGAGCGAAC